GAAUUGUUUGCAGUUACUGUAACUAGGAUGAAACGCUAUGCGUUCCAGGGCACUGGCGUUUGGAAACUGUGGAAACACGUAAACACGAGCCUAUAAUUCGUUAAUCCGUUAAGGAAAAUGCAAAGUGUGAUGAAGACAGGAGAGAUGAAGAUGGCUUCGAUGAUCAAUCAGCGUACAUGAAGGUUACAACGUCCCACAGCCCUCCCACCAUCACAUUAACAAAUAAUGUCCGCAGAAAUACCGCACGAUAAAAGUUGCUCAAGACAAUGGACGGCAGUCAUCAUCCCGUCUGAAUCGGAACCCCCUCCCGACGGCAGAAACGCGGCCAUCCAGCCUCUGCUCGCUUCUCUGGACAGCUGCUUGAGAAUAAACGCCAACCCUUAUGUUCAGGGCAUUGCAGCUCGUGGCAUGGAAAACCAGAAGCUUCCUCGAGACCCUCAGGAAAAUAAUCCUAGCACAAGGCCGCUUCCUUUGCCUUAUGUGAACUGUCCCGUGGACCAGGGCCAGCGGCCGCUAGUGGUGGCCAGAGACAACCCGUCUUUCCAACAUACAAGGCUACAGACCGCACUUUUGCAGAGCCCUGGGCACCAGGACCUGUUAGUGCAGCAGCAUAUGGACCUCCUCCAAAGAGUGGUCCAGGAACAGAACAGACUUCUCACUCUGAUGAAUCCGGGUGAGUCCAGAAGCGCAGUAUGUCAAUCCAUUGGCAUCAUGACUAAUAUGUCAUUGACAGACGGCCUUAUUAUGCAUGUUUGUGACAGCUUAUGCUUAUAAAGCUCAAAAUAACUGUGAUACUGCAGUAUACUUAAACUCAAAGUCAAAAUGAGAAAUUAGAUGUGUUCAGCAAUAUGUAUUUUACGCCAUGCACUUCAUAUUGUUUAGUAUUGCACAUCAUCAUUGCAGAUGUGUUUUGAAAUGUACCUUGCCAAAAAAGAAGCAUAACUGGUUUGUUAAGUUGCAGGAUGAUUGGGAAGGAAAAAAAGUAGUUUCAUCCUUGCAUAAUAAUGAAGUACUUCUGAAAUUAUUGGGAAUAUUUUGUAAUACACAAGCGGGAAGUUACUAUUUUCCAAGGUUGUGAAACCAUCCGGUUUAUUGCUUCAUUAAAUAAAUGAGUUAAACCUAUCUGCAACUCAGAAUAUGCAAAUUUAUAUUCUGUAUUGAACAUGUUAAAGCGAAAACCUACACACAAAAACUAUGGCAACUUAACUGUGAGUGACCAGGAACAUUUCCGGUUACUAUACCUAUCUUAGGCGAAGCUACUGCAUACCUCAUUUGAAAGCUUAAACUGUAUACCUUUCUGUAGAAUCUGUGGUACAUUCAAAUAGUGGAAAAAGUCCAGCAAAUUAAUUGAUUUUCUCAGUACUCACAUGCCAUCGCAUGAUCCUAAAUCUGGGGAUCACUCUUUGUGUUAACUAUGUUAAACUGAUAUGUAUGUACCUUUAAUGAAUCAUUGUGCACAUUUCACUACAUAACCCCCUGGAAAAAUCAGAGAAUUAAAUUCCAAUGUCCUGCGCAAAAUUCCCUUCACCUGUUCUGACACUGCAGUGCCAAGUGCUGCUGCAUUGCCUAGUGCGAUAAUUUAAACCUGAGAAAAUGUACAAAGUAGGCCACCCUAAACUAUUCAUCAGAGCGGGAAACCAAGAUGAUCCAGAUAAUGCCAGAUGAUGCCAUCAGCAGGACCUUUCAGAUCUGUGUGACUUGGGGUUUAUGGGCAGGCAGAUCAGAAACAGAUGAGGGACUGUACAGAUUCCAAGGGAUAUCGCGUAAAGAUCGAGCGAUAACCUGUAGCACAACUUCAUUUCUCGGAGUUUGCAACGUACAUGUCAGCUGUAGAGUUUAUUGUUUUUAUUACCCUCACUGUCUUAUCUGUAUAACAGCGAAUAAAGUACAUUAGAAGGUGCAUAACUAAAGAACAUACUAAAGAACAGAGAAUAUCUACACACUAUAAAACAUAAAUAAGUAGCCUUGGAAUUCAUUUACUUUAGCUGUGAAACUGCCCCAGUGCUAAUAUGGGGCUUUCUUCAGUCUCGAUUUUAUACCUCGUAGCAAAAAAAAAAAAAAAAAAUU
Anguilla anguilla (European eel) is the source of this 2067-nucleotide long non-coding RNA. RefSeq lists it as uncharacterized. NCBI's taxonomy places the organism in Eukaryota, Metazoa, Chordata, Actinopteri, Anguilliformes, Anguillidae. The record is from RefSeq and is a predicted model, not a curated record. The transcript is spliced from 3 exons.